CUACGGGUGGCAGCAGUGGGGAAUCUUGCACAAUGGAGGAAACUCUGAUGCAGCGAUGCCGCGUGAGUGAAGAAGGCCCUUGGGUUGUAAAGCUCUUUUGUCGGGAAAGAUAAUGACUGUACCCGAAGAAUAAGGUCCGGCUAACUUCGUGCCAGCAGCCGCGGUAAUACGAAGGGACCUAGCGUAAUUCGGAAUUACUGGGCGGAAAGCGCGCGUAGGCGGUUAAGUAAGUUAAUUGUGAAAGCCCAAAGCUCAACUUUGGAAUUGCAAUUAAAACUACUUAGCUAGAGUUUAUCAGAGGAAAGCGGAAUACAUAGUGUAGAGGUGAAAUUCGUAGAUAUUAUGUAGAACACCAGUUGCGAAGGCGGCUUUCUGGGAUAACACUGACGCUGAGGUGCGAAAGUAUGGGUAGCGAAGAGGAUUAGAUACCCGCGUAGUC
This 439-nucleotide ribosomal RNA is filed under the name uncultured bacterium. Its description in RNAcentral is "partial 16S ribosomal RNA". It matches the Rfam family "Bacterial small subunit ribosomal RNA", at positions 339 to 795 of the family's 1533-position model. The record is from RNAcentral.